RNAcentral lists this long non-coding RNA (1028 nucleotides) under Mytilus galloprovincialis (Mediterranean mussel). Lineage: Eukaryota; Metazoa; Mollusca; Bivalvia; Mytilida; Mytilidae. The record is from RNAcentral.
GGACAUGCGAACAUGGCCUGAGUGGACUACAACAAUUGAAACUCAAGUGUUGGUUAAUUUUAUAAUCUUCUGCAGGGACAAAAAGAGUGCACAGCAAAAUCCAGAUAAGUUUUGAAUUUUCUAAAACCUUAAAAGCAUUCAUUUGAAUUUGAUAUAGGCUAGGUCAAGCAAUCACUAAAAACUUUCCAGAUUCGUUUAUAUGCGGAGAGUAAAAAACCGCUAUUUUGUUGGUUACUUGGCUAGCGGUUAUUGUUUAGCCGUAAACGACAUUAAAAUCACUUUAAGUCCAAUUGAAUCUAAUUAAAAUUAAACUUCUCACUCGCUCAUUGUUUAUGCUUGGUCGCUGCAUAAAAAAAUGAGCGAGUGAGAGAUUUAAUUUUAAUUAGAUUACUUUGAGUCGAGCACACCGUGCACAAGAAGGAAUACUUUUCGAAGUUUUUAUAGCUGCUGUACCAUAGUACGGUUUAUGGUGUGUAUAUCGAGGAACCGUUAUUAUUUAAAUACGACAUUGACUUGCCAUGAGUAACUCUUACGGUUGGAGGCUAAAUGAGUUUGUCCUUUACUUAUAGGACAGUACGCUUCUUAUAGAAGAAUAUUUAAAAAAAAAAAGCAAUGAUUAUUUGUCAAUCACUCCCAGAAAAGCAGAAUCAUUAAUUUUACAAUUUCCAAACAUAAUGUAAAAAAUAGAAUAGAAUAAAAAAGAAUAGAUUGAACAAUAAAUAACAUUAGACUAAUAAUUAGAUUUGAAAUAAUUGAUCAACCGAUUCAAAAAUCAAUCAUUGAUUUCCGGAAAUUACAGCUUUUCCGACUUUGGUUCGUAACUUAGACGCUGACAUUAUCAAAACAAUGGCGCUAAAUUGAUGAAGUGAAAGAAAAUCUAAUGUUUGUCUCCCACCCAUAACAUAGUUUGAAUGUAAAGGUAAGUGUUUAAGUGCUGUUAAGUUGAGUUCACUGUUUACUAUUCCGUGCAUUGCUAAUCAAUCCUCAUUAGGCCAAUGCAAACGCUGGGAAAAUAGAUCGAUAAAUGA